This 798-nucleotide ribosomal RNA is filed under the name Salmonella enterica. RNAcentral describes it as "partial 23S ribosomal RNA". It matches the Rfam family "Bacterial large subunit ribosomal RNA", at positions 430 to 1230 of the family's 2925-position model. Lineage: Bacteria; Pseudomonadati; Pseudomonadota; Gammaproteobacteria; Enterobacterales; Enterobacteriaceae. The record is from RNAcentral.
UAUCCUGUCUGAAUAUGGGGGGACCAUCCUCCAAGGCUAAAUACUCCUGACUGACCGAUAGUGAACCAGUACCGUGAGGGAAAGGCGAAAAGAACCCCGGCGAGGGGAGUGAAAAAGAACCUGAAACCGUGUACGUACAAGCAGUGGGAGCACCCUUUGGGUGUGACUGCGUACCUUUUGUAUAAUGGGUCAGCGACUUAUAUUCUGUAGCAAGGUUAACCGAAUAGGGGAGCCGGAGGGAAACCGAGUCUUAACCGGGCGUUAAGUUGCAGGGUAUAGACCCGAAACCCGGUGAUCUAGCCAUGGGCAGGUUGAAGGUUGGGUAACACUAACUGGAGGACCGAACCGACUAAUGUUGAAAAAUUAGCGGAUGACCUGUGGCUGGGGGUGAAAGGCCAAUCAAACCGGGAGAUAGCUGGUUCUCCCCGAAAGCUAUUUAGGUAGCGCCUCGUGAAUUCAUCUCCGGGGGUAGAGCACUGUUUCGGCUAGGGGGCCAUCCCGGCUUACCAACCCGAUGCAAACUGCGAAUACCGGAGAAUGUUAUCACGGGAGACACACGGCGGGUGCUAACGUCCGUCGUGAAGAGGGAAACAACCCAGACCGCCAGCUAAGGUCCCAAAGUCAUGGUUAAGUGGGAAACGAUGUGGGAAGGCCCAGACAGCCAGGAUGUUGGCUUAGAAGCAGCCAUCAUUUAAAGAAAGCGUAAUAGCUCACUGGUCGAGUCGGCCUGCGCGGAAGAUGUAACGGGGCUAAACCAUGCACCGAAGCUGCGGCAGCGACACUGUGUGUUGUUGGGUA